Molecule: transfer RNA, 73 nt
Organism: Ovis aries (sheep)
Lineage: Eukaryota; Metazoa; Chordata; Mammalia; Artiodactyla; Bovidae
Rfam family: tRNA
About the family: Transfer RNA (tRNA) molecules are approximately 80 nucleotides in length. Their secondary structure includes four short double-helical elements and three loops (D, anti-codon, and T loops).
Source: Rfam
UCCCUGAUGGUCUAGUGGUGAGGGCUCUGUGCUCCCAAUGCAGGAGCUCUGGGUUCAAUCCCAGGUCAGGGAA